GAUUCUUCCAUGCAUAAAUUUCUCUUCUUUUUGGCUUCAAAACCUGAUCACAUCAGCCUUGUUACCGCCCCUCUCUUAUCCCAUGUUUAAAUAGGAAGAGAGUUUGAUUUUAGAUAGGAGAUAAGAGUUCAAACUCCUUUGGACUUUAGAAUUAUUGUGCCGCCCAACACCUCUCCUUUUUGUACCAAGAUUAUCUUGCAAAGAAAGGAGUUUAACUAUGAUUUCUUACACAUAAAAGAGGAGAAGGUGUGGGAUAUUUGUGGCAUCCAAAAUCUGAUAGGCGUGGGACU
This 290-nucleotide long non-coding RNA is filed under the name Elaeis guineensis (African oil palm). RNAcentral's name for it is "long non-coding RNA (EGUI_LNC015437)". Lineage: Eukaryota; Viridiplantae; Streptophyta; Magnoliopsida; Arecales; Arecaceae. The record is from RNAcentral.